GUGUUUCCCUAAUUGACUCAGAAAUAGCCCACUGAACACCAAAAGUGGAGAACACCAACUGCUAUAAUAAUCUUGCCUUGUCACAAUGAAGAAGGUUAUGAUCAAUGGACUCUGACUUCUCUUUGCACAAAGCACAUCUAUUGGCCAAAAUCCACCCUCUUUUUUUAAGCUGAACCAAGUCAAAACCUUUCCCCAAUAAGCCUUCCAAGUGAAGAAACUCACCUUCGAAGGAAUCCAAGUGUUCCAAGCUAUCUUCAAAGGGAAAUGGAUAGUACCAUCAAUCUCGAACAAAGAAUAAAGCCCCCUUACAGAGAAAACGCUUUUGUUCUUGCCCUUCCAAACAACUCUAUCCUCUUGUUCCCCCUUAAAUGAAUGCCCUUGGAGUUUAGAAAGAAAACGCUCUAUGACACCCA
RNAcentral lists this long non-coding RNA (413 nucleotides) under Vitis vinifera (wine grape). Its description in RNAcentral is "long non-coding RNA (VVIN_LNC008114)". The record is from RNAcentral. Lineage: Eukaryota; Viridiplantae; Streptophyta; Magnoliopsida; Vitales; Vitaceae.